AAGUCAAAGAAGGUCAAAAUGGAGACAGAACAUACUUCACUGGCCAAAGCAAUAGGUAAGUAACCUGGUCACAAAAAAACCAAACACUUGGUUACAGAUAGAAAAAAACCGGAUCACACCCAAAAUAAAAAGGGAACAUAUAGCCAAGAGAAACCACAUGACCGUAACUGAACUGAACUUAGCUACAUCAGUUGAUCUUACACAAACGGAAUCUAACAGUACCGAGAUCAAGUCCGAAAGCACACAGAUCGCGAAGAUCACCUGAAAGAACAGUUCGCCUGAUGAGCUUCCGCUUUCUCUCCUUCGCAUAGCUCAGCUCACCUUCUUCAUUCUAGAUCUAUCUCCUUCUCUCUCUCUCUCUCUCUCUCUCUACAGGCGUUUCAGCUCUGUGUUCCUACUUUUUUGACGUUGUGAAGAAUUGUUUUAGGUACGGUGGUGGACUCAUGGAGAAGCUACGAAAUGACCAUAUCACCCUCCUCCACUGUCC
This 487-nucleotide long non-coding RNA is filed under the name Brassica napus (rape). RNAcentral describes it as "long non-coding RNA (BNAP_LNC016752)". The record is from RNAcentral. Lineage: Eukaryota; Viridiplantae; Streptophyta; Magnoliopsida; Brassicales; Brassicaceae.